CUUUCGGCAGAACAAGCAACGACCACCACCAUCGGGUGGUGGUGAGCGACGGCGGCGUAACACAGAACCGGAGAGAGAGAGAGCGGAAAAGGAAAGGGAGCCGCCGCACAUGGCGGCGACGGUGGUUUAUGGCGGCGGUGAACGUCGGCGACAGUAUUUUCUGGUAAACCCUUCUCUCCCAACACUCUUUUCUUUUAAAAAUCUUCCAAAGUUCAGUGGAUAAUCAGCAUGAGAUUUGAUUUUUUUUUUUUUUUUUUUUUUUUCCUUUCUCUGAUGUUGAUGAUGAUGGAUCAUUGUGGAAGAUGACGGUGAUUGGUUGUUGAAGAUAAUGAAGAUGAAGUAGUGGUGCUUGGUGCGGACUUCGGUUCGACAAGGAAACAACAGGCAUGGUUGCGGGUUAACGAGUCAAAUACUCGGGUCAAACCCGAGUCAACUCGGUCAAACCGAGUCGACUCGGCCAACAUUCAAUCAACUCGGUUCGAGUUCUUGUUCACUCAGUCCAGAUUCGGAUUCGGUUUUGAGGAUUAUUUUGGGUUCGGGUCAACGCUCGAGUCAACUCGGGCCAACAACAAGGGUCAACAAAGACAAGUGGUCAGCCGGCUUGAGAUAUAUCAGUUUUGGUUCGAUCAAGGAUGGUCAAUGUUAGGCUCGGUUAGCCGUAGUCGACUCAUUCAGCCAACAAAAAGUCAAACCCGGUUGGCUCGGUCAACACCCGAGUCAACUCGGGUCAACAACGGUCAAACAUGUCAACGCCCGGUCAACUCAGGACCCGGAAUGUCAUAGUUGCACGCUAGCUACUUCAUGUUCUUGGAAUGACACUACGACAUCACGGAAUCACGAUAAGCUAGCUUUGCACAGGAAUGUCAAGGUUGCAUUUUCAAAACUAUGGAACGGUUGGAAUAGGAGAACCCAUGGGAAUUCGAG
Helianthus annuus (common sunflower) is the source of this 924-nucleotide long non-coding RNA. RefSeq lists it as uncharacterized. The transcript has 3 exons. Lineage: Eukaryota; Viridiplantae; Streptophyta; Magnoliopsida; Asterales; Asteraceae. The record is from RefSeq and is a predicted model, not a curated record.